Molecule: ribosomal RNA, 705 nt
Filed under: Bacillus safensis
Lineage: Bacteria; Bacillati; Bacillota; Bacilli; Caryophanales; Bacillaceae
Description: bacterial SSU rRNA
Rfam family: Bacterial small subunit ribosomal RNA
Source: RNAcentral
UGCAGUCGAGCGGACAGAAGGGAGCUUGCUCCCGGAUGUUAGCGGCGGACGGGUGAGUAACACGUGGGUAACCUGCCUGUAAGACUGGGAUAACUCCGGGAAACCGGAGCUAAUACCGGAUAGUUCCUUGAACCGCAUGGUUCAAGGAUGAAAGACGGUUUCGGCUGUCACUUACAGAUGGACCCGCGGCGCAUUAGCUAGUUGGUGGGGUAAUGGCUCACCAAGGCGACGAUGCGUAGCCGACCUGAGAGGGUGAUCGGCCACACUGGGACUGAGACACGGCCCAGACUCCUACGGGAGGCAGCAGUAGGGAAUCUUCCGCAAUGGACGAAAGUCUGACGGAGCAACGCCGCGUGAGUGAUGAAGGUUUUCGGAUCGUAAAGCUCUGUUGUUAGGGAAGAACAAGUGCGAGAGUAACUGCUCGCACCUUGACGGUACCUAACCAGAAAGCCACGGCUAACUACGUGCCAGCAGCCGCGGUAAUACGUAGGUGGCAAGCGUUGUCCGGAAUUAUUGGGCGUAAAGGGCUCGCAGGCGGUUUCUUAAGUCUGAUGUGAAAGCCCCCGGCUCAACCGGGGAGGGUCAUUGGAAACUGGGAAACUUGAGUGCAGAAGAGGAGAGUGGAAUUCCACGUGUAGCGGUGAAAUGCGUANAGAUGUGGAGGAACACCAGUGGCGAAGGCGACUCUCUGGUCUGUAACUGACG